UUACAGCACAUGUGGGUCACACGAUCAGUUUCCUGCCGAGACUUGCUGAGAUGAUUUACUUCUCUGUAAACAGCAUGACAGUUAGCUUAGCGUAGCAUGAGGACUAGACGCUCACUGCAGGUACAUUAUAUUUAUCACUGAAUGGUUGAGGUGAAGGAAACACUCAAAAAGAACAUUUUGAUUGGAAAUGUCUAGGCCACAAUAUGAUGCAUGUGCUUCUGUUCCUACAAAACAGGAUCAUUUUUGAGAAGCAGGAAAACGUGAUUUUGCCCGGUAACGGACCCGGUGCUGCUGUAACCAGUAUAUCCUGCUGAGCGGCAGGCAGGUCACACUUUGUUGCAAUAACAUGCAGUUUGGACUUGUUUACCCGUCUCAGGUACGCCUGACUGACUCACCUGACCCCGUGCGAUUGCAGCGUUCGCUCCUUCGGCCCCUAAUCUGGACUCCUUUUCCCCACUUCCACGGUGGAGGGAACCCAGCUUUCACCCGUGGCCUAUUGAAACACUGUGUGCUUUAUUGCUGUACAGAAGCUCAGGUGAAACUGCAUCCUGCCGUGUCCUGCUGAGUCAUGCUACCUGACUGACUGUUAGUCACCAACACUGGUCUAAAACCAACAGCAUGCGAGGCACCGCGUGACUAAUCCGACUGAUACUGUAGCACCUCACGUCCUGUAUCAGUUCCCACCAGCCGUUUCGAGCUCGCGCCGCUGCUUCACCUGUUUAUUCCCCGGUGAAUCAGCCGUGGCGUUUCCAGGAAGACUGGCUCCGCAGCUGAACACCCUCAAGUGCUUUAGUGCGUCUUUUGUCCUGAUACGAGUCGGCUCAUUUUUGCUGAGGGCGCGUGUGGCAGGCGGGAUCCAGCUGCAGCGCUGGAUGACGCCCAGGAGGAAGUCCUCCGCGAAUGUUGUUCUCGAGAAAUGUUGGUGUAAAACUGAAAAACAAAGUACGAGUUCUGUGUCCGUGUGUUCUGCGAUAGCUCUCAAACCUUAGCAUGCUAGCAGGCUAAAACACGUUCAGCUUGGACGGAGCUCCAUCAACACUGUGAACCCCCUCGUGGCGUUUUUACGCGUCUGCUGGUCCUGGAUCAGUCUGCUGCAGCUUAAAGAGGAGGCCACUCAAAUGGCUGCUUUAUGUCAGAGCGGCGUGGACGCUGCACACUGGGGGAUGGUGCUUGGAUUUAGGUGUCUCCAGUCAUCCCACCACUGCACCACCACCACCACCACCACCACCACUGUUCCUUUCCUCACAGACCGAUCCACUCGCGUCGACUGCAGCCGCUUUCCUCACUUGAGCUCUUGCGGGAAUUGAUAAAUACGUCGUUUCUACACAGCUCUGGGAAAUAACCGUGUGAAAGAGGAACUAAACCCUCUUCCCGUGCUCUGGUUAGAAUAGAUGAAACACAAGAACGCCACGUUUUUUUUUCUGGUGAAAGAAUAUGUAAAAUAAUACAGCCAGAUGGCCUUCUGAAUGCCACAUCGCCUUGCUCGCGCCGAACACUGGGAACUUUCUAGUGUGUGCUUUUGUGCACGGCGCUGAAAGUGUGCAUUCAUUCUCGCAGGAGAGCGU
This 1565-nucleotide long non-coding RNA is filed under the name Betta splendens (Siamese fighting fish). RNAcentral describes it as "lncRNA (ENSBSLG00000008629.1)". Lineage: Eukaryota; Metazoa; Chordata; Actinopteri; Anabantiformes; Osphronemidae. The record is from RNAcentral.